Molecule: long non-coding RNA, 4282 nt
Organism: Betta splendens (Siamese fighting fish)
Lineage: Eukaryota; Metazoa; Chordata; Actinopteri; Anabantiformes; Osphronemidae
Exons: 2
Source: RefSeq, a predicted model, not a curated record
CACACACACACACAUAUCAUGCCAAGAGCAAAUGCUCCCAUUGUUUCUGCUCUCUAUUCUAAUGCAGAACUGAGCGCGAUGAGGGUAAAUCCGGAUCUGGACUCCUUUCCCACCAUCAGCAGAAGAACCGAAGGAGAAGAAGCGCCGACCAACAACCAGAACAGGGUGGAAGCUCUGACACCACAGCAGCUGGAGGACACAGACCACAGCAUGGACGCCUCAGCGACUCACACAACGUCUGCAGCCGUCACGUUCUGGGCUCAUCAGAUGAACCAGCUACUACAAGCGUGUGUGUCUGACACAGACACCUGCUUAUGACAAUCAGCAAAGGAAAACAAGGACAGAGCAACAGCAGAGAAGACGUGCUCUGACACAGACACUGGUUGAAACAACAGAAGAGGCUUAAGACGUGAUCGGCCCAAAAGAGCUGCAUCUGAGGAUCCAGGAAAGGUCUGUCAUCGAGAAACAACUGUCCCAUUGAAAGGCUUCACCCACUGGCGCUCACAUCAGACUGAUGGUUGGGGAAGGAGGAAGGUGACGGUUCCUUUUCACGUGACGUACAAGACGCUCCACACGUCCCUCUGUGAAAACAUGAUGGAGACAGAUGCAGGACGUGGGUCCUUUCGUGAACAGAUGUCAACGGGGUGGAGACUGGUGAACGACUUCUGACCCCAUGUGACGUAUUUACCCACACUACAUGCUUUCGUUUUUAUUUUUAUUUCAGAGGACGCUCUGACCCAACACUCAGCCUUACAGGAAGCCCUGCUUCCCUGUGGCUCACACACAGACAUGAUGUAGGUUUGAUCAGAGGAUGUGAACCAGUGGUCAUCACACCUAAAUCUGACCACAGACCAUGUAAACAACAACACCCUCUUGAAAGAAGCCAUAGAUGGCGUUACUGCAGACACCACUAAGAUACUGAAACAUUGGAUGCGACAGGCCACAAAGAGCCUGUCUAAAUUACAGUUUGUUCAGACAAAGGUUAUUUUCUGGGUCAUUGUAAUUACAGCUGAUGGCAAAUCCAUCUCACCCAACAGAGUUGAAGCAUUUUUAAACCUGCCUAAACCGUGCACGUAAAAACAGCUGAUGUCUUUUCUAGGUUUUUGUUCUUAUUGUAGGACUUUCGUUCCUAACUUUACCUUCUCUGAGGCCCCACUCAGGGUUCUGAUGCAGACGUCUUCAUCGUCCACUUCUUGUCUCACGUGGACGUCUGAGGCUGAACAACGUUCACUGACCUCAUGCUUGCUCUUCAGUCGGCUCCUACUUUGGGUCUCCCUGAUCUGACCCUACGCGACCUUUCACUCAAACAGUGGAUGAGAAAUCAGGUUGUACGACUUCUGUUCUUUUGUCCUCACUGUGUCUUUGAUUCUUUUGGAAUAGAUCACAUCUUUCUACAGCCCGAUGGCUUAGAUGCAACACCACCUUGCUCAACAUGCUGAACGUUACUAUCAAGAGGCCGUCUUGAAGUCUGGCUUUUUGCUAAGACACUACUCUGCUCAGGCUGCAGAGUUGAUCGCGUUGACUGAAGCUGGUAAACUAGCAGAAGGAGAGUUACCAUCUACACAGACUCCACAGAUGCUCUGUGGAAGCAUAGGAAGCUUUUGAAGUCUGAUUGCAAACCUAUCUUACAUCAUGAUUAGGUUGCUGCUUUGCUGGACGCUGUCCUGCUACAGUACCUACAGCUAAUGCUGUUUGUAAAUGUCCAACUCACACCAUCAGUGACGACUUUGUUUCUGCCGACAUGCAGCUGCAGACGCUGCUGCGAAGGUCACUGCCCAACAACCCCUCCCUCUCCUGAUCCUCAUUUCCCUCUCCAACUCUCUCUACCCUCUCCUUCCUCUUCUCUCCCUGUGCUUUAAACGUUUGCUACCUCACAGGAACGCUGACUCUGGCUGACGAAUGGUUUCACCUGUAGCCAUGGAGUCUGGUUUGGGCCUGAUAGGAAACCGUGCCGCCCAAACACUUUUUUUCCCCACAAUUCAGAUUUCCCAACAGGUGAAAACAGGCGACAGGACCAUUACACCAUCCAACCAGGGGACUGGGUGAUCGUUAAGGAGUUCAGGAGGAAGCACUGGGACUCCAAACGGUAGCGAGGCCCCUUCCUGGACCUUCUGACGACCCACACGGCUGUAAAGAUCGCAGAGAGAGCGAUUUGGAUCCACUCCAUCCAGGAAGGUCCCGGAUCCGACAGACGACCUUCCAUCUACAUCUCACGGAGAAUUCACCACUAACGAAAAGAACUGAGAAGGACGACCUUCGCUGUGCUCACACACGCACUGAGGCGAGGCUGCGUUGACCGUUCAGCUAAAGGUGUGAGCCAAGCGCCGCCUGAAGCUGCGCCGGUGAAUCACACUAUCAGACCAUACAUCUACACACACGCUCCUGAGAAAACACACACACGAGCAGCCUUGAGUUGUCAACGCUGGACGACGUGUAGACUCUUCACAUCACGGGAGUGACAGUGACUCAGACGACAUUGGGAGGAAACCUGGCGGUGAUAACGAAUCCCAAGUGUCUCUGUGAUCAGCUGAUCACAACCUGAAGAACUCCAACGAACUGGCAAUACAUCAACACACAGGUUGGAAACAAUCUAACGCUACUGUUCAACAGGACGAAGCUGAUUGUUACAAGACAUCAAUUGUAACCUCGUUGCGUUAGACAUUUUAUGUUACUCUGAUUAUUGCCUUGAUCAUAUGAUGUUUCCAUGUAACUUUACACAACACUUUUGAAUGAGAAACUUUCACAUAAUUCACAACACUGAGUUUAAAUAUUAAUUUGAUGUUUCAUUUGCUCACAAUCACUUUAUUCAUUGCUACAAAAAUUUUUAUCCUUCAUCUACAGAUGACAGAGGUUAUGAGACAAAACGCAUCAUCAUUCUGGUUAAAUCCCUGAAUCUCCUAUUCGCUCUAGACGCAAAUGUACAAUUAAAGAUUAGAAAGCAUGAAAUCUAUCUUAAGAUUAUAUGAAACAGAACCCCACCGGAAACCUAUGGCUAUCAUACAUUAAUUAUCUUUAUUACAUUACAAUUGAAUGGCCGUAGACACGUUGUUAGCAGAGAAAAGAGGCGUUUGUGUUAUGUUUGGAGAGGCAUGUUGUACUUACAUCCUGAAUAACACUGAUUCUAAUGGUAUCGUGGCGAAGGCGCUCCACGGCCUUCAAAAUCUCAGCUAACUCUGGUAUAGGUUCUUUCUCUUGGAAUUGGCUAGACAAAAUGUCCGGAAAAUGGAAAUCUGUUCUCAUGUCCACAGCUGUUUCCUUUAUCAUUGAGAUGGCUGUGAUUCUCUUGUUUGGUUUUUGCGUUAUCCCACUGGUUAGAGGUCUCAUCAUGCGUGCGACCCCAGCAACACUCUCGUAUCAAAUGACACAAUGCACUAUGUUCAAAAAUCCCAACUCUAAUUCACUUAAUGACUUUGACGAUGGUCUUAGGCUAUCUGAUCACAAAAUAUAAUCUGAUACGAAUAUGAUUAUGAGCUUAUUUUCUUCACAUGUCGAUACAGAAGUUAUUCUUGUAUAACUACCCACCAAAAACAGCUCCCAACCUUUUGUCCCUAAGUUACUUGCAUUUAAUGUGAAGGUGUAUUUUGAAUCUUGAUGAGUUAAUACCCUUAUUGUCAUCAUUUGCAAGGGUCUUUUAUUAUUACAGAAUGUGAUGUUGACAAUUUUAUUCUUUUAGUGGUUGAUUAAUGUGUAAUCAAAAGGGGGGAGUGUUAUGGGAAAAAUUGUCUCUUCCUUAUUUCUAAUUGUCUCUUCCUUAUUUCUAUGUCUCUUCCUUACUUCUAUGCAGUUAUUAUACGAUUUAUGACUUAUGUUCUGCAAUUAAUAUCUUAUGUUUUGUCUUACUGUAUGCAUUUGACAUUUCACCUAGAUUGUUCAAUGGUUGUCUCUGCCUGAUAGACUCUCAACUCUAGCUCCCAAACCCAAGGUCAGCGAGUUGUGUCUCUGUCUGUUGAGACUUGGUGCUCCUUUCUCACAGAUAGUUGGACGUCAGCAAUGCAGGUGUGAGAAUGUAAAUAUCUUCACACACACUGCGACAGGGAGGAGAUGGUGCGUGUAAUUUGAUUGGGUUAGAAAGACAUUCCACCCUAGUCGGACAGAGAAGCUAAAAGGCAGAAGCAACUUUAGGAUCGUGGGCUCUUUGCAUCACACCUUCGUGGUGUGUGCACUGAUCUCCCCAGCUGGUUUUCGGUUUGUUGAUGUGCACGAUCAACAUCCAUGCUUUUGAUUUGCUUUCCCCAUUAUUUUUAUUUUCUUUAUUAUUUCAAUAAAUCGCACAAAAGGACAA